UACGAAGGGGGCUAGCGUUGUUCGGAAUUACUGGGCGUAAAGCGCACGUAGGCGGACAUUUAAGUCAGGGGUGAAAUCCUGGAGCUCAACUCCAGAACUGCCUUUGAUACUGGCGAUCUUGAGUCCGGGAGAGGUGAGUGGAACUGCGAGUGUAGAGGUGAAAUUCGUAGAUAUUCGCAAGAACACCAGUGGCGAAGGCGGCUCACUGGCCCGGUACUGACGCUGAGGUGCGAAAGCGUGGGGAGCAAACAGG
RNAcentral lists this ribosomal RNA (253 nucleotides) under uncultured bacterium. RNAcentral's name for it is "partial 16S ribosomal RNA". It matches the Rfam family "Bacterial small subunit ribosomal RNA", at positions 524 to 776 of the family's 1533-position model. The record is from RNAcentral.